RNAcentral lists this long non-coding RNA (12951 nucleotides) under Triticum aestivum (bread wheat). RNAcentral describes it as "long non-coding RNA (TAES_LNC027838)". Lineage: Eukaryota; Viridiplantae; Streptophyta; Magnoliopsida; Poales; Poaceae. The record is from RNAcentral.
GGGACGGCAAGACGCUCAACACGGUGGUGUUCGCCAGGUUCGUCUUGUUCUUGGAUUUUCGCUUGCUUCUUUGUUUCUUCUUUCUGACCGAGCAGGUGAGCUGAUUUUGGAUUUGUCAUCCUAGUUUCUGCAGCUGUUGGAGGAGGACUUGGUGGUGCUAAGGAAUGGAGUACUACAAGGACGGACGCCGCUUCCGUUGAACUCAGGUGAGCUUGCGAAUUCGCGAUGGCCUUGGUGAUUUUACUGUUACUGCUACUCUAUUAGUCAUGGAAUUCGGGAGAUCUUGGGUUCGAAUUUUAUUUUCUGGGAUUUUUAUCGGGGUGUAUGCAACUGUAUAACUGUAAAUUGGCUUGCCCCUGGGUGUUCUUGGUUGGUGAUUCGACAAUGAUUUGAAGCGGUCUGGCUUAUCAGCCGGUGGUUAGGUGGAGUCGGGUUAUUAUAGUUUCGGUAUAGGAGGGGGAAAGGUGGCACAAAUCUGGGGGCAGGGCAUGUUUCUGCCUGAUUGAUCCAAUCAUUUUUUUUCUUCUGGUAUCAAUCAAUCAUGCCAGCAUCUGAAACGGAUUAUCAAAUCUGAAUUGGCACUGUUUUUUAUAUAUAAUGAUACCAUACAGCUCGAGAUGAACAUAUGCUUGACUGAAUAGUUGUUCAUACAUCUGGAGGUGUUACUAUGAGUACAAUUACCAUUCAGAAAGAAAGAAACUAUGAGUAAAAUGCAGAGAACGCACUUCCAGACUAUCAAUCAUGCAUGCCCAUAUCAUUUGCUUUGCUUAAUGUUUCUUAGUUUAACUUACUAAUCUCUUGUCUGUGUAAUUUUUGCUGCCAGAAGGGAUCCAAAUAGGUUGCAACUGGGAGUAAAAUAUGUGUCUAAACUGAUUGUCUGGUGCGAAAAUCGACGACCAAGAUCCAGUUAUGUGUAUUGUAGGACAACACCUUUCAUUAGAUACACUUUGAUGCUAUUUCUAGCAUGAAUUUCUAUUUCAGACUUAGAACUAAAAUUCUGAACAACUAAAAUCGCUCUUGUUCCUUAUUUUUGUAGGGCGGUUCCUCUCGUUUUACUGGUUCGUCCGCUCCUUCAUGAUUGAUGUACUGGUUCUGGCCGCUCCUUCGUGAUAGACUCGGUUAACUCUUUGUUGGCCUUGUGGGUCGUAAUUGUUUCUCUCCAUAUGCAUAUACUUCCUGAUGUAUUGCUCAUGCUCAUUCUGUACCGAGAUAGACCUAAUAUCCGUAGGGUUGUAGAUUGAUUUCCCCUGAAAAAGCUAUGCUUCUUUCCUUGGAUGAUAAGCAUGUUCCGCAGCUAUGUGGAAUUCUUAAGAUAAACGGUCUUUAGUUUCUUUUGGUGCAUCUGCGUGCACAUAACAGUCUGUUAGUUUCUCAGUCUGUUAGUUUCUCUUUAUAUAAUGAAAAAAUAUAUGUUGUUGUCGCUUGUUUAUUAUUAUCUAUCAUUUGUAUAUUGAUUUUUAGGCCACCAGUACUUGUAUGUAUAAUUUCUAGUCUCUUGAAUGAAUAAUUUUUCUUUAUGUGCCAUGCGUCUUGUGUUACUACAUACAUCUGUCGUGAAGUACAUGGUUCUGGAACUAUGGUAACCCGUAGUUUGCUCUACCCGUGAUAGUAGGAUGAUGGAAGCAUCACUACUGAAUGUAGUUCAUGUUUCUUCAUAUAAUCAUCAUUUACUAGAGUUUCUCUUCUUCUUGCUACUACUUGGUUUUUGACGCCACUAGCUUGUACUGAAAUGUAAACACAUCAUAUUGUUCUCAUCAGACCAGUGUACCUUGAGCAUGCAAAGUAAACACAUGCUACUCCACUUGUCUAUUUUUACAUAAACUUUUGUUUAAAUAAACCGAGCUAAUAAACCAAACGGUGCAAACACAUUCAGUUCUGAAAUUUGUCUACUCCACUUGUUUGAUUGUACUGAAACCUUUGUUUGCAUGUUUCUAAAAUGCAGAGAAGAACACCCUGUGUUCUGGUAAAAUAUUUGUUUGCUAUGAUAUGAAAUUCCAUGAUGUGUGUGUUGUUUCAGUUUCUGUAGCUACAACAAAGUCCUAGUUUACUCUAUACUUGCUUUUGAUGAUUGCUGGCUAAAUUUACAGUUGAAAUAAUAGUAGCCAAGGAGUAGAUACAAGACGUAUUUACCAUAUUUUGCAUGGAAUGUUAAAAAUCAGUUUUGUUGUGGUUUCUUGUUCUGUGAGUCAAAUUGCAUAAGAUGGGAGUAUCACAACAUGCAUAUACUGAAGCUGGGAGUAUCACAACCUGAAUGUGCAGCUUAUGUAGUUUCUGUAUUUUUGUUAAAGCAUGGAGUAGCUUCUAUAGUUUCUGUAUUUUUGUUAAAGCAUGGAGUAGCUUCUAUAGUUUCUGUAUUUCUGUAUUUUCGUUAAAGCAUGGAGUAGCUUCUAUAGCUUCCUCACAAGUUAAUGCUUUGCUCGUCCGGGUGUGUGAUAAUGCCAUUUGUCUUGUGCAAUCAGAUUACAUUUCUGUUUGUUAUGGUAAUAUAAAAAAUAUUCGUGCUGUCAAAAUUUUCACAGUGCGUGUCUUUCAUUUCUUUAAUUUGAUUGUUUCCCUUGUAUUCAAUAUGCUUCUAGUGGCUGAUCCUUCCAUUUUUGUUGUGGCAUCUUUAUUUUCACAGGUGUUGUGUGUUCUGGAAGAUGGAAGAGGAAGAAAUUGUUGAACUAAAUUUUUUGUAUUCUGUUUUGUUGUAUGUAUCAUUUGAUAGUUUUGUAUAGGAACAAGUGAUACUAUUUUGUAGGGCUUUAUGGCCUAUGAUGUAAACAUAUUUAGUGCUGAAAUAUGAAAUUAUUUGCAAAAUUUGUCAAAAAGGUGGAUCAUAUGUAUGAAUAUGUGAAUGGGCUGAAAAGAGUAAUGGACCAACUCCAGGAUUGAAUUCAUAUUUGAAUGUAUAAAAAGGCCGAACGUAAACUAGAAAUGGGCUGAACAAAAUUGUACAUAUAUUCUUGAAAGGCCAAACAUGCAUAAAAUUGAUGGGCUGACCAGUUGGGCUUGGCCCAUGUAGCAGAUAAAAAUUAACAGAAAUAAAUAUACCAAAUGGGUUGAAUUAAUGGGCUAGGCCCAUGUAGAAAACUGAAUUGGACCGGGCUGAAUCUUGUGCCACAUCAGCUUGCCACGCUGGAUGCCUACGUGGCCUGGGGAGGUUGCUAGUGACCAAAAUGCCACAGUAGGAAUAUUUUGGUCGUAAACGUCUUUGACCAUUCCAGAAGAAAGGUCUCUAUAGUCAUUUACGACGGCCAGCUUUUGACCUUCUGUUUUUGGUCACAAAAAGGUCAUAAAUGGAAAUUUGUGACCUUUCAGUGACCAAUAGUGGUGGUCAUAAGUUGACAUAUUUCUUGUAGUGAGGGAACACAGCAGCAUAUAAACGCCGCAGCAAAACGAGUCCAGAACUGAAACCACUUCAGAAGAGCUCAAGAAACAAUAUCCUGGGUACCCAUAAUGCUGGCAAGAUGCUUAGCAAGCUUAUUAACUUUCUCUUGUUUGGCGCUUAAGUCCUCCAGCACCUGCUGUUGCACCAGAAAGUAUGCAUCUGAAUUCUGCAGGGACUUCCUCAGUCCUUCGGCUUCCUGUCGCAUAACAUCUGAUCGAUGUCUUUCAACUUGAAGUUGAGACUCAAGAAACCGAACUGAUUCAGGCAACAAGUUCGAAGAGCUGGUGCCAGCAGUGGUAGCCAGUAACUCGAACAGUACAUCAAGACAGGACUUUGGGGUUGUCUCAGUGUCCUCAAUAUAGUUUUUAUCAGCUUUCUUGGAGACCAACAGGGAUGUCUCACUAUCUUGAACCUUAUCUGCAUUACUUCCUUUACCAUUGCAUAACAGGGUACUCUUCUCCAAUAUUUUAUCCGCGUUCUAAAAGGGAAACAAACAAACACAUCUCAGGUUUACAAUGUAGUAUAUGAAACUCAUUUUGGUAAACCAGUUCAGUAGUAAGGUGGACAGGAUAACAGCAUGAAACAAACAUAUAUCUAUGUAGUAUGGUCACUGUAUGGUCUAUAUCAUUCUAGUUUAUGUUGCCAAAUCAAGAUAGAUACAGUUCGAAUCAUAUCUAUUUAAGACAAAGCAGCAUAGACAGAAUAUAAGUGUGGGAAACUACACAGCAAUAACAACACUUGUACUCCCUCCAUUCCUAAAUAUAAGUCUUUGUAGAGAUUCCACUAGGUGGACUACAUACGGAACAAAAUGUAUGAAUCUACACUUAAAAUGCAUCUAUAUACAUCCAUAUGUGGUUCAUAGUGAAAUCUCUACAAAGACUUAUAUCUAGGAACAGAGGGAGUAAUGUGCAUGGCAUGAGAACAUAAUUGUUUAUUCAAUUGAAACUGAAAUCAACAUAGAGCAAGUUACAACAGCAAACAGCCAAACACGUUGAAGAAACAGGUUUAAAACAUACCUGUUGCACCAUUGGAGUUUCAAUUGCAUCCUUCAAAUUUGAAAUUGGUUGGUAUCAGUAAAUGCAGUGAUGCAAGAGCAAAGUAGUAUGAACCAUAGCUACGGAACCUGACCUGAGAACAAUUCUUCUUCUACUUUAAGCGUUGACUUCGGGUUUGGAGUGGUGGUCCUCGUGAUUUGGGCACUGCAGUUGCCUUACUAACUGCUCGUGUUUGGGUGCUCUGUGGUGGAGACGGUGUUGUGUCAACGGGAACUGGGUGUCUAUCUGCCGGGGUUGGGGUUAGAAGGGGUGUAGCUGGUUCUCUGUCCAACUGGGUAGGGGUACAAUCUGCAUGAGUGUGGGUUAUGUGUGGUGGGGCUGAUUCUUGGGCAAGUACAACCGUGGUUCUAUCUGCAUCGACAAGUAGCACGAUCUUUUCUGAAGACCAUGUUUUUACUCCCACAGAUACUGCCAUCACUCCCUCCAAUUGAAAUGGAUGAUAAACAAGAAAAGUAAUUGAAUGUACAGACAAUGUAAGAUAGACAGGUGCAAUGGAUAGUAGGGAAGAAAACAGGGCAUGAAAUAAUUCACAUUUAUGUUGUCUAAGCAAACAGAAUAGCAGGACAUAAUUUCACAUAUAUGAUGGCUAAUUAAACAGGAUAGCAUGACACAAUUUCACAUGUAUGAUGGCUAACUAAACAGGAUAGAAUGACAUACUUCAAAAUAUGAUGACUAUGUAAACAGGAUGACAUGAUAUAACUAUAUGAUGUGUCUAUUAAAGAGGUUGGCAUGCCAUAAAUCACAAACAUGCCGUCGAUGGAAACAUGAUGGCAUGAUAUAAUUCACGGAUAGAAUGACAUAAUUUAAAAUAUGAUGACUAUGUAAACAGGAUGAGAUGAUAUAACUAUAUUAUGUCUUUAGAAAAUGGGUUGGCAUGCCAUAAUCCAGAUACAUGCUGUCUAUGUAAACAUCAUGGCAUGACAUAAUUCAAACAUAUGAUUUAUAUACUAAGGAAGUGAGCAGAGGGCAAUUGCAUAUAUGAUGUCUCAACAAAGGAGAUGGCAUUCAAUAUUGUGUAUAUGAUGUAAAAAAUAAGCAUUGCAAUACAACAUAUGCAUUAUAUGAGUAAUAUAACCCUGCCAAGUUUGAGCAUACACCUCAGGGGGAUAAUAGGACUGGUCAUCUACCUCUGAAUCCUCCUCUGAAGAGCUAUCUGUAACCAGCAAGAUAUCUGCUUCAGCAGGUAGCAUUGUCUGCUCUAAAGACCUUGUUUUCACUCCAGAUUUCUCCAUCACCAAUUCAAAUGGCUGAUGCAUAGGAAGAGCAGUUGAAUAUACAAACAUUGUCGACAAAAGCAAUGAGAAAUACAAAAAAAGGACGGCAUGAUAUAAUUCACAUAUAUGACGCUUGCCUAAAUAGCAUGGCAUUGCAUAAUUCACAUACAUAAUGCCUUGCAACAAGAUAACAUUGCAUAAUUCACAUAUAUAAUGUCUUGCAACAAGAUGGCAUUGCAUAAUUCACAUAUAUGGUAAUUAGACACUAAACAGGUGGCAUUCACACAAAUCAUGUCUAUACUAAGCAAAUGACAUAGCAAUGCAAGAUACCAUACGCACGAUAUGAGUAACGUAACCCUGCCAAGUUAGGGCAUGCACCUCAGGGGGGAAAUAUGACUGGUCAUCUGUCUCUGAAUCCUCCUCCGAGGAGCUAUCGGUAACCAACAAGACAUGCGCUUCGUCAGAUAGCAUUGUCUGCUCUGAAGACCUUGUUUCCACUCCAGAUUUUUCCAUGACCGUGCCGAAUGGAUGAUGCACAGGAAGAGUAAUUGAAUGUACUAAAAUUGUUGACAAAUUUAACACAUAAUAAAAAAAUGAUGGCAUGAUAUAAUUCACAUAUAAGAUGACUGGCUAACCAGGGUGGCAUUGCAAAAUUCACAUAUAUGAUGCCUGGCUAGACAAGAUGGCAUUGCAUGAUUCACAUACACGAUAAAGAAGCAAGGGAUUAUUAGAUUUAUGCCCCUAGUUGUGUCCCACUCGUCUGUUUUACCCCUAAUUCCCAAAAGUCACCGGUUCUAUCCAAGUCAUGUUGCUCCUCUUAUGCUUUUGCCCUUUGACCGUUUGACCGUCAGUUUGAAAACUUCAUAAGUAAUUCAUACUAAAUAAGAAAAAUGCAAAUAAGAUACCAAAAUGUUCAGAAAAACAUCACCUAUAUGUCAGUGUCACUUGCAUUCAUGAAAAAAGUGUUGGAAAGUGCACAUCCGAGUUUUAGCUCUUUUGAUACCACCAUGAAUAGUGAACUCUAAAAAAAUUCAAAAAAAUUCAAAAAAAAUAUGGUGGCAAAGAACAACAAAUGUUCUAAGUGCUUACCAAGUUUCAUUAGGGAACGACAUUCGUGGAAGUCAUGGCAAAAAAUUAAUCUAUUUUGGAGUGCUGAUUGUUUUUUUGUCGCGACACCCACGAAUGUUAUUCCCUGAUGAAACUUGGCAGGCACUUAAAACAUUUGUCCUUCUUUGCCACCAAUUUUUUUUGAAUCUUUUUGAACUUUUUUAGAUUUUACUAUUCAUGGUGGUAGCAUAAGAGCUAAAACUCGGAUGGGCACUUUCCAACACUUUUUCAUGAAUGCAAAUGACACUGACAUAUAGAUUAUGUUUUUCUGAACAUUUUGGUAUCUUAUUAGUAUUUUUCUGAUUUAGUAUGAAUUAGUUAUGAUGUUUUCAAAUUGACGGUCAAAGGGCAAAAGCAUAAGAGGAGCAAAGUGACUUGGACAGAACCAGUGACUUUUGGGAAUUAGGGGUAAAACAAACGAGUGGGACACAACUAGGGGCAUAAAUCUAAUUAUCCCAAGAAACAAAACAGAUGGCAUUGACACAAAGCAUGUCUAAACUAAGCAGAUGAAAUAUUUAACGUAUACAGUAAGCAAUGCAAGGCACCAUAUGGAUGAUAUUACCAACAUCAGCAUGCCAAGUUAGAGCGAAGACCUCAUGGGGUAAAUAGGAGUGGUCUUCUCCUUCUGAAUCCCCCUCAGAACAGUUAUCUUCCUCUUGAUUACAAUCCGAAAUGGGUGGAGGGGGGGUCUGCCUUUGCGCCCACCAUGGAACGACGUCUGCAUGAAAUUUUAUUGCCACGCAAGGCUCAUCUCUUUUGCUCUACAUGCUCAGUUCCAUUGUGUACAAUAACUGGCAUGCAUAGGAAUAAAACCUAGUGAGAUUAUGUAAGGAGUGCAUGCACAAAUCCGGAGUGAUGGUAGCAAACUGUGGAUAGACCCAAAACCAAUGAUAGCAGGCAGAUAUUAGCUUUAGUUAAAAAAUACAGAUAAUGGCUCCUUUAAUGUUUUUUUGCACCCAACAUGAAACUCAUAGUAGACACCGGAGAUUAACCAGAUAGUAGACGGAUAGUACUGAUUGCUGCCCCAAUAUGUACCCCACAACCAUUUAAAAACUCAAGUUUCAGCAUUAUUUUGGACGUGACUCGGAGUCUAAUAGGUGAACACGACGAUAAUGUAGCAUGUCAUCAUAUUAAGCGACGCAUAACGUAAGCUAACAGUGCUAGUCCGCUGCCUUAUUUCUAGUUGUUAACGACCAAUAUAGAUGGUCAUAGCCUUGUAAAUUCUGGUGGGUUGCUAUGACUAGGCGCCACCUCAUCAGUUUUGCCUAUGUGUCAUGUCCAUGUGGCAGUUUUUGCCCUAGGUUGUGAAGCAACCUAUAUUUCUGUCAUUCCCAAAAUUCCCAAAAAAAUCUCAUAAAUUCUUUGGGUCAUAUCUUCGUCAAAUAUGUAAAAACCUUCCUUGCCUAGUUCAAAAAUAAUUCAAAAAUAUUCAUUUUCCUAUUCUGUUCAAAGUAACAGUUUGUGAAGGAAGUACCUUCCUUGCCUAGUUCAAAAAUAAUUCAAAAAUAAAGAGCAAACUAUGAGGCAGCUACAGUUCAAAUUUGACCCGUUUCCAGCUGAAUCGACGACAAUUUGUCUUUUUCAUCAGAGGUGGAUCAAAACUUUUUUCACCCAACCAUUUUGUCAAUUGUGCAUUAAAUAUGGCCUAGUAUUUUAUAAAAAAAAUUUGGUCCAAUUUGGCAACAAUUAUUUGGGAGGUCCUUCACAAAAAAACCUCCUGUUGGGCACUCGAAAAAUGGAAAAUGGUUUUUUCGUCCAAAGAAAAUGAAAACUCCCUUAGGCAACAUUGUUUGCCAUUCAAAUAUGCACCCUUGUGCACAAUAUGAGAUCAUUUGAACAAACUAUGCCAUGAAUGUGGCCAUAAGAUUGAUCAUUUGGCUUGAAAGCCAUGAAUCUUCAGAUAUGAUAGCUCAUUUCUGAGAACACUUUUUUAAAAUAAUUGUCGUAUUACAAGUUUGUUAUUUUUCCUGGGAACUUGGCCACAUAUAAUGACACAAAGCGAAGGUUUUCCAAUUUUUUGAUUUGUUUUGAAUUUUUUAUGCCCGUUUCAAAAUGCGGUCAAAACGGCGGGCUUGACCGUUCCUAGCUAGUGGUUGAAUCUUGGAAUUUUUUUGGUGUUUCUAUGAUUUAAUAGAUACUUAUGUACCUAGAAAUAAUUUUUGGAAAAAAUAAAGAGCAAACUAUGAGGCAGCUAUAGUUCAAAUUUGACCUGUUUCCAGCUGAAUCGACGACAAUUUGUCUUUUUCAUCAGAGGUGGAUCAAAACUUUUUUCACCCAACCGUUUUGUCAAUUGUGCAUUAAAUAUGGCCUAGUAUUUUAGAAAAAUGUUUUGGUGCAAUUUGGCAACAAUUAUUUGGGAGGUCCUUCACAAAAAAACCUCCUGUUGGGCACUUAAAAAAUGGAAAAUGGUUUUUUCAUCCAAAGAAAAUGAAAACUCCCUUAGGCAACAUUGUUUGCCAUUCCAAUAUGCACCCUUGUGCACAAUAUGAGAUCAUUUGAACAAACUAUGCCAUGAAUGUGGCCAUAAGAUUGAUCAUUUGGCUUGAAAGCCAUGAAUCUUCAGAUAUGAUAGCUCAUUUCUGAGAACACUUUUUUAAAAUAAUUGUCGUAUUACAAGUUUGUUAUUUUUCCUGGGAACUUGGCCACAUAUAAUGACACAAAGGGAAGGUUUCCCAAUUUUUUGAUUUUUUUUGAAUUUUUUAUGCCCGUUUCAAAAUGCGGUCAAAAUGGCAGGAAUAACCGUUCCUAGCUAGUGGUUAAAUCUUGGAAUUUUUUUGGUGUUUCUCUGAUUAAAUAGAUACUUUUGUACCUAUAAAUGAUUUUUGUAAAAAAUAAAUAGCAAACUAUGAGGCAUCCGCAGUUCAAAUUUGACCCGCUUCCAGCUGAAUCGACGAAAAUUUGUCUUUUUCACCAGAGGUGGAUCAAAACUUUUUACACCCAAUAAUUUGGUCAAUUCUGAAUUAAAUAUGGCCUAGUAUUUUAGAAAAAUGAUUUGGUCCAAUUUUGCAACAAAUAUAUUAUAGGUCCUUCACAAUAAAACUCAGUUUGGACACUCGAAAAAUGGAAUAUUUAUUUUUCGUGCAAAGGAAAUAAAAACUCCCUUUGUCAAUAUUGUUUGCAAAUCCAUGAUGUAAACAUGUGAAAAAUAUGAUAUCAUUUGAACAAAUAUUUGAUAGGACUUUCAGAAAAAUACUCAUUUUGAGCACUGAAAAAUGGAAUGAAAUUUUUUAUCUUGAAUCGAUCACGACCAAUUUAUAUUGGUCAUAAGGUCAUCAAAUGGUUUGCUUCGUUCUGAUUGGACCAUGAUCAUAUCACACGGAUCACGCAUCAACCACCGUCGGAUGCUUCCGGAUCCAACGGCCCAAAACCACCUGAGCCGAAACCCUAGCCUCAUGGACAUUUUCCACCCACCCCCCGCCCCCAUUCUUUCUUUCUUUCUCUUCCUCCCCCCUCAGAUCCUCUCCCCUCUCCCCCGUGCAGCGAACCCUAGCCCCUCUCUCCCCCGCACACCACUCCUCCUCCCUUCCAGAUCACAGCCGCCNNNNNNNNNNNNNNNNNNNNNNNNNNNNNNNNNNNNNNNNNNNNNNNNNNNNNNNNNNNNNNNNNNNNNNNNNNNNNNNNNNNNNNNNNNNNNNNNNNNNNNNNNNNNNNNNNNNNNNNNNNNNNNNNNNNNNNNNNNNNNNNNNNNNNNNNNNNNNNNNNNNNNNNNNNNNNNNNNNNNNNNNNNNNNNNNNNNNNNNNNNNNNNNNNNNNNNNNNNNNNNNNNNNNNNNNNNNNNNNNNNNNNNNNNNNNNNNNNNNNNNNNNNNNNNNNNNNNNNNNNNNNNNNNNNNNNNNNNNNNNNNNNNNNNNNNNNNNNNNNNNNNNNNNNNNNNNNNNNNNNNNNNNNNNNNNNNNNNNNNNNNNNNNNNNNNNNNNNNNNNNNNNNNNNNNNNNNNNNNNNNNNNNNNNNNNNNNNNNNNNNNNNNCUCCACCUCCCUCCGGACGAGCUCCCCGCCGUCCAUGGCCUCCCCCACACCCUUCUCCCUCGCGAGCCCUCUCUCUCUCCCUCGCGCGACUCCUCUACUCCACUCGAUUCUGGCGAGUUGAGGCGGCUCUCGCCGGCGCGCAGCACACCCCGGCCUUCAGGUAAGCAAGUUUUUUGCUCGGCGCCGGCGCGGGCGCGGAUCGAGACUGACGGAUGGGUUUGGUUCCUUCCUUGCUACAAGCGGUGCUGUGCACGGCGGUGGCGUUGGCGCUGUGUGCGGGCGGAUUGGCGCGUCGCCUGCGGCGAGGGGCGCGGGGUGCCGGAAGCAUGUGCGGAGGGUCACGGAGUACGGGGCGGUGGGGGACGGCAAGACGCUCAACACGGUGGUGUUCGCCAGGUUCGUCUUGUUCUUGGAUUUUCGCUUGCUUCUUUGUUUCUUCUUCCUGACCGAGCAGGUGAGCUGAUUUUGGAUUUGUCAUCCUAGUUUCUGCAGCUGUUGGAGGAGGACUUGGUGGUGCUAAGGAAUGUAGUACUACAAGGACGGACACCGCUUCCGUUGAACUCAGGUGAGCUUGCGAAUUCGCGAUGGCCUUGGUGAUUUUACUGUUACUGCUACUCUAUUAGUCAUGGAAUUCGGGAGAGCUUGGGUUCGAAUUUUAUUUUCUGGGAUUUUUAUCGGGGUGUAUGCAACUGUAUAACUGUAAAUUGGCUUGCCCCUGGGUGUUCUUGGUUGGUGAUUCGAUAAUGAUUUGAAGCGGUCUGGCUUAUCAGCCGGUGGUUAGGUGGAGUCGGGUUAUUAUAGUUUCGGUACAGGAGGGGGAAAGGUGGCACAAAUCUGGGGGCAAGGCAUGUUUCUGCCUGAUUGAUCCAAUCAUUUUUUUUCUUCUGGUAUCAAUCAAUCAUGCCAGCAUCUGAAACGGAUUAUCAAAUCUGAAUUGGCACUGUUUUUUAUAUAUAAUGAUACCAUACAGCUCGAGAUGAACAUAUGCUUGACUGAAUAGUUGUUCAUACAUCUGGAGGUGUUACUAUGAGUACAAUUACCAUUCAGAAAGAAAAAAACUAUGAGUAAAAUGCAGAGAACGCACUUCCAGACUAUCAAUCAUGCAUGCCCAUAUCAUUUGCUUUGCUUAAUGUUUCUUAGUUUAACUUACUAAUCUCUUGUCUGUGUAAUUUUUGCUGCCAGAAGGGAUCCCAAUAGGUUGCAACUGGGAGUAAAAUAUGUGUCUAAACUGAUUGUCUGGUGCGAAAAUCGACGACCAAGAUCCAGUUAUGUGUAUUGUAGGACAACACCUUUCAUUAGAUACACUUUGAUGCUAUUUCUAGCAUGAAUUUCUAUUUCAGACUUAGAACUAAAAUUCUGAACAACUAAAAUCGCUCUUGUUCCUUAUUUUUGUAGGGCGGUUCCUCUCGUUUUACUGGUUCGUCCGCUCCUUCAUGAUUGAUGUACUGGUUCUGGCCGCUCCUUCGUGAUAGACUCGGUUAACUCUUUGUUGGCCUUGUGGGUCGUAAUUGUUUCUCUCCAUAUGCAUAUACUUCCUUAUGUAUUGCUCAUGCUCAUUCUGUACCGAGAUAGACCUAAUAUCCGUAGGGUUGUAGAUUGAUUUCCCCUGAAAAAGCUAUGCUUCUUUCCUUGGAUGAUAAGCAUGUUCCGCAGCUAUGUGGAAUUCUUAAGAUAAACGGUCUUUAGUUUCUUUUGGUGCAUCUGCGUGCACAUAACAGUCUGUUAGUUUCUCAGUCUGUUAGUUUCUCUUUAUAUAAUGAAAAAAUAUAUGUUGUUGUCGCUUGUUUAUUAUUAUCUAUCAUUUGUAUAUUGAUUUUUAGGCCACCAGUACUUGUAUGUAUAAUUUCUAGUCUCUUGAAUGAAUAAUUUUUCUUUAUGUGCCAUGCGUCUUGUGUUACUACAUACAUCUGUCGUGAAGUACAUGGUUCUGGAACUAUGGUAACCCGUAGUUUGCUCUACCCGUGAUAGUAGGAUGAUGGAAGCAUCACUACUGAAUGUAGUUCAUGUUUCUUCGUAUAAUCAUCAUUUACUAGAGUUUCUCUUCUUCUUGCUACUACUUGGUUUUUGACGCCACUAGCUUGUACUGAAAUGUAAACACAUCAUAUUGUUCUCAUCAGACCAGUGUACCUUGAGCAUGCAAAGUAAACACAUGCUACUCCACUUGUCUAUUUUUACAUAAACUUUUGUUUAAAUAAACCGAGCUAAUAAACCAAACGGUGCAAACACAUUCAGUUCUGA